CGAAUACGACGCUCUCGGCAGCUGCGCCGCCGGGUCGCUAUCGUUCUGUCGACUAGCAGUACGUCCGCCAAAGACUGUUUAUCUGGUCUAGCGUGCUGGAUUUAACUGUGCUUCCUGUCGCUGAUGCAUUCGUUUGUCUUGCCAAGAUUAAUAUCGCUGACCACUUCAAAAGUAGAUAUGGAAAAUUAUCAAAUAUGUAUUGAAAUAGGUUAAAGUAAAAAUAGCUAAAUUAAAAUAUGUACGAGGGCAGUCUGAAAAGUUCUCGGCCUGACACAUAGAUGGCAUUAGAAACUGUCAAACUAUAAUUGUAUUGGAAAAUGGCAUCCCUGAUAUAAACCCAUGUAAAAUUUUAUUUCGAUCUGUCAAGUCAUUCGAGCACCAGGUAGUAGCACCAGUUUCAUUGUCUUUUUUAAAAUGGAAAGAAUUGAAUAUCGUGCAGUGAUUAAAUUGUUUUGGAUGGUUAAAUUUGUUUUGGAUGGUUUAACACCAACAGAAAUUCAUCCGAAAUUGUUAAAAGUGUAUAAGGAUGCAUCACCUUCAAUUUCCACUGUGAAAAAGUGGGCUGCUCUUUUUAAAUCUGGUCGUACAAGCCUCGAAGAUGAUUCACGCGAAGGUUGU
Molecule: long non-coding RNA, 618 nt
Organism: Harpegnathos saltator (Jerdon's jumping ant)
Lineage: Eukaryota; Metazoa; Arthropoda; Insecta; Hymenoptera; Formicidae
Exons: 2
Source: RefSeq, a predicted model, not a curated record